Molecule: long non-coding RNA, 676 nt
Organism: Manis pentadactyla (Chinese pangolin)
Lineage: Eukaryota; Metazoa; Chordata; Mammalia; Pholidota; Manidae
Exons: 3
Source: RefSeq, a predicted model, not a curated record
CAGCCCGCCAGAUUGUUGGGCUGCUGUGAGCCUCCAGCCCUGGAGGUCUUUCACUAACGGGAUAGGGUUUCAUCUCUCUGGAAUGUGUUAGGACAGCAAGGCCUAACCCAUCCUCUCUGUCCAGAUGAAAUUUGUCUUCCAUGAAGGACUGGGCCCCACUUCUGAGCUCCAUAGAACUACAUGGAACUCCUAGAAUAUAUAUAACACAGAGCUCCACUCAUGCCUCAACAGUCCUGAAUGAUUCUCUUUCUCCAGCAUCUUGGAACCUGUUUCUACUCAUCUGUUAAGCGGAGAUAAUACUACCUUCCUUGGUUAUGAGAAGUAGCCACUAGCAUGGACGAGGACAGUCUCACAAAGAGGCAGAAAGGGAGGUAAUGUUCCCAUCUGAUGGAUGAGAAAAUCGAGGCUCAAAGAGGCCAAGAAGCUUGAAAGGGGCCACGUUCACACAGCUGGAAUGUAAAGCCAGGUCUUCUGGAGCCAAGGUACCCGCCACUGACAGAUGAGCUCGAGUUCUACAAGCAACUGGUGGUUUGGCCACCCCAAUAAUUGAGAACUUUCUUCAUUAAAAAUUGUUUAAAAUGAAAGUACUAUCUGGCCUUUAUUCCUUUUCAGAUUCAUUGGCUUUUUUUCUGAGUUGGGAACUGAGUCCACAGGAGGAGCAAUUCUCCAAGGAACA